GACGAACGCUGGCGGCGUGCUUAACACAUGCAAGUCGAGCGGAAAGGCCCUUUCGGGGGUACUCGAGCGGCGAACGGGUGAGUAACACGUGAGUAAUCUGCCCUUGGCUUUGGGUUAACCACCGGAAACGGUGGCUAAUACCGGAUAUGACGGGCUCCGGCAUCGGGGUUCGUGGAAAGUUUUUUCGGCCAGGGAUGUGCUCGCGGCCUAUCAGCUUGUUGGUGGGGUAAUGGCCUACCAAGGCUUCGACGGGUAGCCGGCCUGAGAGGGUGACCGGCCACACUGGGACUGAGACACGGCCCAGACUCCUACGGGAGGCAGCAGUGGGGAAUAUUGGACAAUGGGCGGAAGCCUGAUCCAGCAACGCCGCGUGAGGGAUGACGGCCUUCGGUGUAACCUCUUUCAGUACCGACGAAG
This 417-nucleotide ribosomal RNA is filed under the name uncultured bacterium. RNAcentral describes it as "bacterial SSU rRNA". It matches the Rfam family "Bacterial small subunit ribosomal RNA", at positions 28 to 450 of the family's 1533-position model. The record is from RNAcentral.